MicroRNA precursor from Taeniopygia guttata (zebra finch), 140 nucleotides. NCBI's taxonomy places the organism in Eukaryota, Metazoa, Chordata, Aves, Passeriformes, Estrildidae. The record is from Ensembl.
UUCAUCUGAGGAUCUUCAUCUGGGGAUCUUCUGGAGAACUUCUGGAGAACUUCUGGAGAACAUCUGGAGAACUUCUGGAGAACUUCUAAAGAACUUCUGCUGGACACCAGGAGAUCUUCAUCUGGGGAUCUUCUGGAGAA